RNAcentral lists this transfer RNA (73 nucleotides) under Balaenoptera acutorostrata scammoni. RNAcentral describes it as "tRNA-Arg (CCT) (tRNA-Arg-CCT-10-1)". It matches the Rfam family "tRNA". From Rfam's summary of the family: Transfer RNA (tRNA) molecules are approximately 80 nucleotides in length. The record is from RNAcentral. Lineage: Eukaryota; Metazoa; Chordata; Mammalia; Artiodactyla; Balaenopteridae.
UCCCUGGUGGUCCAGUGGUUAAGACUCUGCACUCCUAAUGCAGGGGCCCCAGGUUCAAUCCCUGCUCAGGGAA